Molecule: ribosomal RNA, 484 nt
Filed under: uncultured bacterium
Lineage: Bacteria
Description: partial 16S ribosomal RNA
Rfam family: Bacterial small subunit ribosomal RNA
Source: RNAcentral
AUUGAACGUUGGCGGCAGGCCUAACACAUGCAAGUCGAGCGGAUGAAGGGAGCUUGCUCCUGGAUUCAGCGGCGGACGGGUGAGUAAUGCCUAGGAAUCUGCCUGGUAGUGGGGGAUAACGUCCGGAAACGGGCGCUAAUACCGCAUACGUCCUGAGGGAGAAAGUGGGGGAUCUUCGGACCUCACGCUAUCAGAUGAGCCUAGGUCGGACUAGCUAGUUGGUGGGGUAAAGGCCUACCAAGGCGACGAUCCGUAACUGGUCUGAGAGGAUGAUCAGUCACACUGGAACUGAGACACGGUCCAGACUCCUACGGGAGGCAGCAGUGGGGAAUAUUGGACAAUGGGCGAAAGCCUGAUCCAGCCAUGCCGCGUGUGUGAAGAAGGUCUUCGGAUUGUAAAGCACUUUAAGUUGGGAGGAAGGGCAGUAAGUUAGUACCUUGCUGUUUUGACGUUACCAACAGAAUAAGCACCGGCUAACUUCGUG